RNAcentral lists this ribosomal RNA (2081 nucleotides) under seawater metagenome. RNAcentral's name for it is "eukaryotic LSU rRNA". It matches the Rfam family "Eukaryotic large subunit ribosomal RNA", at positions 1248 to 3401 of the family's 3401-position model. The record is from RNAcentral.
GUGGUCAUGGAAGUCGAAAUCCGCUAAGGAGUGUGUAACAACUCACCUGCCGAAUCAAGUAGCCCUGAAAAUGGAUGGCGCUCAAGCGAAUUACCGAUACUCAGCCAUCUGUGCUUUUGUGAUGCAUAGAUGAGUAGGAGGGCGUGACGGUGGUGCCGAAGGUGUGGCGGUGACGUCCACUUGAACCACCGUUAGUGCAGAUCUUGGUGUUAGUAGCAAAUAUUCAAAUGAAAACUUUGAAGACCGAAGUGGAGAAAGGUUUCACGUGAAGUUUAAUGCGACGUGAGUGACCCAGUCCUAAUCGUCUCCUGAAAUGGUUUGAACGGCACUUAUGUGCUAUUACGAGAAAGGGAAUCCGGUUAAUAUUCCGGAGGUGCAAUCAAGUUGCUUAGUGGUAACACAGUAGAACUGGGUGACGCCAGCGAGGGCCCUGGAAAGAGUUUUCUUUUCUUUUUAACAAAUUGCGCAACUAUGGAAUGGGAUUAUCCCGAGAGGUAGUUGUGUGUUUGGCAAAGCAGACGACCUUCUCGUUUGUCCGGUGCGCUCUCGAUGGUCCUUGAAAAGCCUGGGGAUUAUAUGCAACGGAGUUGUAGCUGUACUCAUAACCGCAUCAGGUCUCCAAGGUGAAUAGCCUCUGGUCGAUGUGAUAAUGUAGGUAAGGGAAGUCGGCAAAUUAGGUCUGUAACUUCGGGAAAAGGACUGGCUCUUAGGACAGGGUGUAUGAGGCUUCCUGUUAAAUCGUUCGGGCGUUGAAGUUUGGCUAACUCCUCACGGGGUAGGCCGAACGGCAACGACUGUCCGAGGAAACUGGAAGAUGCUUCGGCGAUCUCUGCACGCUUAACUGUUAACUGAGAACUGGCGCGGACAAGGGGAAUCCGACUGUUUAAUUAAAACAAAGCAUUCUGAUGGUCGGAAACGAUGUUGACAGAAUGUGAUUUCUGCCCAGUGCUCUGAAUGUCAAAGUGAUGAAAUUCAAUUAAGCGCGGGUAAACGGCGGGAGUAACUAUGACUCUCUUAAGGUAGCCAAAUGCCUCGUCAUCUAAUUAGUGACGCGCAUGAAUGGAUUAACGAGAUUCCCACUGUCCCUACCUACUACACAGUGAAACCACAGCCAAGGGAACGGGCUUGGGUGUUACGGCGGGGAAAGAAGACCCUGUUGAGCUUGACUCUAGCCAGACUUUGUGAGGUGACAUAAGAGGUGCAGCAUAAGUGGGAGAGUAAUCGUCCUUGAGAUACCACUACUCUUGUCGUUGUCUUACUUAUACAUUUAGUAAGCGACAGAACUCAAACGUUCUGCUUAUAGUCUUAAGUACCUUCGGGUGCGAGCUUGGAUGUUGACAGUGUCUGACGGGGAGUUUGGCUGGGGCGGCACAUCUGUUAAAUGAUAACACAGGUGACCCAAGAUCAGCUCAGCGAGAACAGAAAUCUCGCGUAGAGUCUAAGGGCAAAAGCUGAUUUGACUUUCACCUCCAGUGACGGUGGAAGCUGUGAAAGCAUGGCCUAGCGAACCAUCAGUGCGUGGAUAUUACGCCUGGUGCUGUCAGAAAAGUUACCACAGGGAUAACUGGCUUGUGGCAGCCAAGCGUUCAUAGCGACGUUGCUUUUUGAUUCUUCGAUGUCGGCUCUUCCUAUCCCUAAGUCGCAUAAGGCUUAAACGGUAAGAUUGUUCACCUACUAACAGGGAACGUGAGCUGGGUUUAGACCGUCGCGAGACAGGUUAGUUUUAUCCUACUGUAACGUAUUUAUCUCGAUAGUACCGCAACUCAGUACGAGAGGAACCGUUGUGGCGAGUAACCGGUAAAUGCCGUUGCCCGAGAGGACAAUGCGGCGAAGCUGCCACUCGUGGGAUAAUAGCUGAACGCCUCUAAGCUAGAAACCCUACUAGCACAGAUGAUAACAGUUGCUAAUCACAUUGUGUUCAAAUAACUCUUAUGAGUAUACCAAUCUUCAUCUUAUGUGGUUCGUAGCUUUAGAUCCUUUGUAGACGACUUAAAUGAAGCAGGUAUUGUACGUGUUAGAGUCGGCUCGAUUCCGACGAUACAUUGAGAUUCAACCUGUCUUCUUAGAUUUGCCUAACUAAA